RNAcentral lists this ribosomal RNA (431 nucleotides) under uncultured bacterium. RNAcentral describes it as "partial 16S ribosomal RNA". It matches the Rfam family "Bacterial small subunit ribosomal RNA", at positions 29 to 505 of the family's 1533-position model. The record is from RNAcentral.
AACGAACGCUGGCGGCAUGCCUAACACAUGCAAGUCGAACGAGACCUUCGGGUCUAGUGGCGCACGGGUGCGUAACGCGUGGGAACCUGCCCUUAGGUUCGGAAUAACUCCCCGAAAGGGGUGCUAAUACCGGAUAAUGUCUUCGGACCAAAGAUUUAUCGCCUUUGGAUGGGCCCGCGUUGGAUUAGCUAGUUGGUAGGGUAAAAGCCUACCAAGGCGACGAUCCAUAGCUGGUCUGAGAGGAUGAUCAGCCACACUGGGACUGAGACACGGCCCAGACUCCUACGGGAGGCAGCAGUGGGGAAUAUUGGACAAUGGGCGAAAGCCUGAUCCAGCAAUGCCGCGUGAUUGAUGAAGGCCUUAGGGUUGUAAAGCUCUUUUACCCGGGAUGAUAAUGACAGUACCGGGAGAAUAAGCUCCGGCUAACUCCG